UACGGGGGGAGCAAGCGUUGUUCGGAUUUACUGGGCGUAAAGGGCGCGUAGGUGGCGGCCCAAGUCCAUGGUGAAAGCUCGAUGCUCAACAUCGAGUCGGCCACGGAUACUGGGUUGCUCGAGCACUGUAGGGGCAGAUGGAAUUCCGGGUGUAGCGGUGGAAUGCGUAGAGAUCCGGAAGAACACCGGUGGCGAAGGCGGUCUGCUGGGCAGUUGCUGACACUGAGGCGCGACAGCGUGGGGAGCAAACAGG
This 253-nucleotide ribosomal RNA is filed under the name uncultured bacterium. RNAcentral's name for it is "partial 16S ribosomal RNA". It matches the Rfam family "Bacterial small subunit ribosomal RNA", at positions 524 to 776 of the family's 1533-position model. The record is from RNAcentral.